Ziziphus jujuba (common jujube) is the source of this 1588-nucleotide long non-coding RNA. RefSeq lists it as uncharacterized. The record is from RefSeq and is a predicted model, not a curated record. NCBI's taxonomy places the organism in Eukaryota, Viridiplantae, Streptophyta, Magnoliopsida, Rosales, Rhamnaceae. The transcript has 2 exons.
UGAUAAAAUGGCCCAUCAUUGGAGCCCAAAAAUAGAAAAUAAAGAAAAACAAAUAUAUAUAUAUAUAUAUAUAUAUAAAAUAAAAAAAAAAUAAUAAAAAAAAACAAUCACAAACAAUGCGAUCCAUAAUCUUGUCCACCCAAAUUUCGGACUAAAUUAAAAAACAUAGAGUUGACAAAAUCCAUAAUUUCAUUAUUGUGGAUGCCUCUGUUCUGGCUAGACAAAACAGAGUUGGGAUUGGCGUGGUAGUGCGGAAUUCUUCUGGUGAAUUGAUGGGUGCUAUGGCAAAACCUUUUGAAGCUUCCUGGUCUGUCAUGUAUUCUGAACUCAUGGCUAUUCGUGUGGCAAUAGAUUUCUGCAUGGAAGCUGGUUUCGUCCAUGGUGAAAUUAUAAGUGAUUGUCUGGGGGCGGUUCGUGCGGUCAAUAUGGGUUUACCAGAAGCUAGUUUGGAUGAGAACUGUUUUUUGGUUGAAAGACUACAAAAGUUAUUAACAUUAUGUCCAAAUCUUACACUUUCUUUUGAGUCCAGAGAAAAAAAUAAUAUAGCCCACUGUAUUGGAAAAUAUGCUACGGAGAUCUCUAAUUUAGAAACAUGGCUUGAGGAGGGCCCACAGUGGCUUCUCAAUUUGCUUUGUGCUGAUAUGUAUAAUGAUUUAAUGUGAUAUUUUACCCCUUUUUCCAAAAAAAAAAAAAAACAAAAAGAGUUGACAAAACCCCAAAAGCCAAAAAUUUAAAACUAUUUUACUUAUUUUAUUUUAUUUUAUUUUUACAAACUAAUAAAUUUGGGUUGUUCUACUUGGGCCUGAUUUCCAAAGAAAUGAACCUGAAUGUUAUUUCCUCCACAUUCACUCCCCAAAAAAAUAAAUGAAAAUAAGAAGAGAGGUGGACGUAUCUCUCUCUCUCUCUAAAAGCUUAAUAUCCAUGGCAGAAACUUCGUCUUCUCCCGCAACGACCCUAGAAACCAGUAUCCCCAGCAGCAAGAACAGGAUAACUCCGCUUCCCAAUCCAAUCAAACCGAUCCUCUUCCCGCUUCCACGCAAACACCAGUACUACCACAAUCCUAGAUUUCCACUGAAAGAGACACAGCCGAGAUUCCGUCAGAUUUUCACGGACAACCGAUAUUUCCACCGGAUUUCCACAAUCCAUUGAAAAUCCGGGAUUUACACCGAUUUCAGACGAUAUCCACGAUAUUUUGCGGCAUCGACGAGAUUUCUUCAACAUCACAGACAGAUAUUUUUUUCCUCCUCUAUCGGUGUCGCCGUUCGCCAAAACCCGAUAUUGUCGCCGAGAUUUCGAUGUUCUCGACGACUUUUUCGUCCCUGAUCAAAGGGUGAUUUCAUAAGUGGCUGACGGAUUGCAGAAAAUACAGUGAUUGCCGAAGAAAUUAUCCACAAAAUAAGGAAGCAUAAAGGGAAGGACCUAACGAUUAUGAAGAUAGAGUUCCAAAAAGCCUACAACGGGCUAGAUUGGCUUUUAUUGGAUAAAGCUCUUCGGGCCUAAGGAUUUUUUAUUCACAUUUAGAAGUUGAUCAUGAGCUAUAUUUGCACUGUGGAAUAUUACUCUUAAUUAAUUGAAGCUUAGUUGGUAA